This 292-nucleotide ribosomal RNA is filed under the name uncultured bacterium. Its description in RNAcentral is "partial 16S ribosomal RNA". The record is from RNAcentral.
GGACUACAGGGGUUUCUAAUCCCGUUCGCUACCCUGGCUUUCGUGUUUGAGCGUCAGGAACGUACCAGUGCACUGCCUUCGCCUUUGGUGUUCCCCAUGAUAUCAACGGAUUUCACCCCUCCACCAUGAGUUCCGUGCACCUCUUACGCCCUCGAGCCCUACCGUUUCCUUCGCCGGCUGUAGGUUAAGCCCACAGAUUUAACGAAAGACUAAUAGGGCCGCCUAGACACCCUUUACGCCCAGUGAUUCCGGGUAAUGCUUGGGGCCUCUGUAUUACCGCGGCUGCUGGCAC